AGGAAGCAGACCUGCUUAGUCGAUUGACCAAAGAGGAGUUAGAACAGCUUCCCGACGAAGUAUAUAUACAGCAUGUCCGUACACCUGCUUUUAAAAAGACAAACACGGUACUGCAGGUAGAACAGAGCCCAACUUGGAUGACCCCAUACCUGAGAUACUUGGAGGAGGGUGAGCUCCCCGAAGAUAAAGAUGAAGCCAGAAAGAUAGCAGCUCGUGCUGCCAACUAC
This 227-nucleotide long non-coding RNA is filed under the name Manihot esculenta (cassava). Its description in RNAcentral is "long non-coding RNA (MESC_LNC003454)". Lineage: Eukaryota; Viridiplantae; Streptophyta; Magnoliopsida; Malpighiales; Euphorbiaceae. The record is from RNAcentral.